AUGAACGCUGGCGGCGUGCCUAAUACAUGCAAGUCGAACGAACAGACGAGGAUUUUGUUCUGCUGUCGUUAGCGGAGGGCUGGUGAAUAACUCGUGUACAACCUACUUGUAUUUGUUGUAUAACUUCGGCACACGGGAGCUUAUACUAUAUAAUAUAUUGAACCGUAUGGUUCAUUAGUAAAUGACGGUUUUGCUGUAACUUAUAGCUGGUUCUAGGCUGCAUUAGCUAGUUGUGAAGGUAACGGCUUAUCAAGGGGACGAUGCGUAGCCGACCUGAGAGGCUGAUAGGCCACCCUGGAACGGAGACACGGUCCAGACUCCUACGGGAGGCCGCAGUAGGGAAUCUUCGGCAAUGGGCGAAAGCCUGACACAGCAAGGCCGCGUGUGUGAUGAAGGUCUUCGGAUCGUAAAGCUCUUUUAUUUGGGAAGAACAGAUGUGUAAGUAGAUAUGGCCGUAUUGACGGUACCUAAUAAAAAAGCAACGGCUAACUACGUG
RNAcentral lists this ribosomal RNA (496 nucleotides) under uncultured bacterium. RNAcentral's name for it is "partial 16S ribosomal RNA". It matches the Rfam family "Bacterial small subunit ribosomal RNA", at positions 29 to 507 of the family's 1533-position model. The record is from RNAcentral.